AGGAGAAGAGAAGAGGGAGUCGUUGUUGGUGUUGGUAAAGAAAGAGGUUAAAGGACCAAGAAUAUCCAUCCAGGAAGACGUUACCCGCCACCAGUCUCUCCCUCUCUGUCCACGCGUCCUUUUCCCAACCUUCCCUGCUCUCACUCUCUGUGCGCCCUUAAUUUUGGCACGCACGCUGUGUCUUCUCACCUUCCAAUUUCUGUUUCCUCCCUCCCCUUUUCUUCUCCUCUUUGGUUUUCUUUUCCUCCUCCUCUCUCUCUCUCUCUGCGCAUUGCGUUGGUUCGUUGGUUGGUCGGUUGCUUGGAUGGUUGGGUCAAAUUAACCUCUGCUUUUCUCUGCAGCAUCAGAUUCGGUAAUUUCAAGCUUCUCUUUUUUAACCUCCAAAUCCGUUUCAAUCUUUUUGUUUAUCUUAUUUUCCUUUCCUUGUCUCUUUCGCUUAACCCACCCACAUAAUAACUCUAUUUCGAUUAGGGUUUCUCUAACACCAAUCUUUCCUUAUCCUGGAAACAGCGUUGCUUUGAAGUCAGCUUGUUUGGUGCUUUUACCAAAUUAUGUACUUUUUUCUUUUUCUUUGAGAAUCAACCUAUUAGAAAGUUGGGUUCUUUUUCUUCACUUCAAUACAGGAACCUCUUGUAGAAUUUCAGGUGCCUUUUGUUUUCUAUAUAAUUUUUUGCCUCCUGGAAUGGAAUGUUUUCCUUGUAUUCUUGACUUGCUUUUAUAUUUCAAUCUUUCCUAGUCGGCUCUCUUGAUUUAUCGUCUGCCAGCAAAUCUAGGUUUCUUGGUACCAUCAAGCUCGCGUUCUAUUUCUAUCUCUUAGCUGCAAACGAUGGCUUUGAAUCUCUCUCGUGGCUCAAUCUUGCCUACGUAUCCUUCUUCUGUUUGGUACUCUAAUGGGUAUGUGAUGGAUCAAUACAAAGAAAAUAAUUUGGAUGGUGUUUGUGAUGAUUCGUCAAGUUCUUGGGGUUUCAAUUUGGAUUUGAGGAAUACCCAUUGGGGAACUGAAUUGGGUGGCUAUUGUGACCAUUCUGCUGAUGAUAUUGUGGAUCGGUUGCCUGUUGAUCCUUUUGGAAUGGGGAUAAGGUCUACUUUUACUGCUAUCACGGGUUGGCUUCAAGGUUUUGAAAAGGAACACGAAUCUCAUGGCUCUGGGUUGCAUGAAGCAUUUGACGGUGGAUUAUUGGCAGGUUUCAAUUGGGCUUGGAAUAGUGCUGUGAUGUUUCAGCCAGAAGUUUGUGACCUGAGAUUUGAUGGAAUAUCAAUUCCAUAUGAUAGCUUUGAUGAGUAUGGGAUCAAUGAUGGAGGUUUCGUGUUGGAUGGCAAUGUGGAGGAGUUUCUGAGUUUUAGCGGGAACUUGGAUUUUUGUGAUGGAGCUAAGGAACUGCAAGUUGAAACUAAGGAAAUACAAGGUUGUAGCAUUACGCAUCCUAAUAGUGAGGGGAGUGCUCCACAUGAUGCUAUAUUUUAUGCAUUGAGUUUUCUUGGUGUUAAGGACCUUCUUUCAGUUGAAAAGGUUUGUAGGUCUUUUCGUGAUUCAGUUAGAAGUGACCCUCUUCUAUGGAGGAGUAUUGUCAUUGAUUGGCCGUUGAAUGAGAUCGUCACUGAUGAUGUUCUUAUAAAGUUAACUGACAGGGCUCAAGGCACUCUUGAAGCCUUGACUCUAGUGCAUUGUGUCCAUAUCACUGACUUUGGGCUGCAGCGUGUGUUUGACCGCAACCCAAAGCUGACAAAGUUAAGUGUUCCAGGAUGUCUUAAAAUAAGUGUUGAGGACAUCUUGUUAAACUUAUGGACCUUGAAGUCUGCAGGCAAACCUGGAAUAAAGCAGUUAAGAAUUGGUGGUCUCUCUGGUAUAACAGAGAUGCAGUUUGAAGAGUUGAAAUUCUUGCUUGGUGCAGAUAACUGUGUUCAGUUUAGAGCACCAAAACCACGGUUUUUUCAUGGUGGGCUGUCACAUCUCUCUUGUGAUGAUGAUUGUGCCAUCGACGUUGAAGCGUGCCCCAGGUGCCAGAAACUAAGUUUAGUUUAUGAUUGCCCAGCAAAGAGUUGCCAAGGGAAACAUCAUGCUGAUCAGAUGUGCAGGGCUUGCACGCUCUGCAUAGCUCGCUGUAUUAGUUGUGGGUGCUGCCUUCAAGACACUGAUUAUGAGGAGACAUUUUGUCUAGACUUGCUCUGUAUGGUUUGUUUGGAGAAAAUACUCAAAUGUAGGCAUGGAGAAAAGGGUGCUCCCAAGUGUGCCUUUUUUUGUCAGGAGAACAGGUAUCAAUUUUGCCUUAUUGGCUAAUGGAAAGACAUUGCAUAUUCGUUUGCUGUUGGUUGUGGAUUAGAAUCUACAAGGGUGGUUGGCUGUUCAGAAAUGGGCACAAGCUAUUUAAUGCAUGCUUGGUUGCCACAGUAAGGAGUUGUAUUACCAUGAGGAACUUGCAGCUUGUGAAGCUGGAGAUAAUCUCCGGAGGACCGGAGGAAGGAAAAGGGAAAUGAAAAAAAAAUGAAAAAAUGAAAAGAAAAAAAAACAGAAAAAAAAGGAGGGAAGAAUAGUAGAGAGAUGAGAAGAGGUUACAACAGAAAGGUUGAUUGAAAUAGGGAAAAGUAAAAAGAAAGGAGAGGGAAAAUAUAUCAGAGGUUGAGAAGUUUGGCUUGAACAUGUUUAGUUAGCUCAUGCCAAAGUGGUUCCUGUCCUGGAGGGAGACUUACCAACAACCCCGAGGACCAAAGGACAAUGAAGAAAAUUUAGUAGGGGAAGUGGAGCAGUUGAUUGUUAGUGGAAGUGAGGAAAUCAUCAUCAAAGUCGAGUAACUUUUUUUGGGUGCAGAAGAAGAGCAGCAGCCAUUUAUGGGGGGUCAAGCAGAAAGUUAUGGGAGAGCUGUUGGAGCACUGAUCUGUUUGUCAUAUACCAAGUUUGUGGAAUCUUGUUUUUAAGCAAAAUAAUCAAUAAAUAAGUUGUAUCCAUUUAUAAAAUAUAAACCAAUUUUGUUUUUUUAA
Molecule: RNA transcript, 2976 nt
Organism: Prunus persica (peach)
Lineage: Eukaryota; Viridiplantae; Streptophyta; Magnoliopsida; Rosales; Rosaceae
Gene name: F-box protein SKIP14
Exons: 2
Source: RefSeq, a predicted model, not a curated record